UCGAGAAUAUUCCUCAAUGGACGAAAGUCUGAAGGAGCGACGCCGCGUGCAGGAUGAAGGCCUUCGGGUUGUAAACUGCUUUUCUCUGUGAGCAAUUUGUGAGAGUAGCAGAGGAAUAAGAGGUUACUAACUCUGUGCCAGCAGUAGCGGUAAUACAGAGACCUCAAGCGUUAUCCGGAUUUAUUGGGCGUAAAGAGCAUGUAGGCUGAUAUAUUAGUCAGACGUCAAAUCCUCGAGCUUAACUCGAGAACUGCGUUUGAAACGGUAUAUCUGGAGUCAGUGAGAGACCAGUGGAACAUAUGGUGUAGCAGUGAAAUGCGUUGAUAUCAUAUGGAACACCAAAGGCGAAGGCAUCUGGUUGGCACUGUACUGACGCUGAGAUGCGAAAGCGUGGGUAGCG
Molecule: ribosomal RNA, 400 nt
Filed under: uncultured bacterium
Lineage: Bacteria
Description: bacterial SSU rRNA
Rfam family: Bacterial small subunit ribosomal RNA
Source: RNAcentral